AGUGAACGCUGGCGGUAGGCCUAACACAUGCAAGUCGAACGGCAGCACAGUAAGAGCUUGCUCUUACGGGUGGCGAGUGGCGGACGGGUGAGGAAUACAUCGGAAUCUACUUUUUCGUGGGGGAUAACGUAGGGAAACUUACGCUAAUACCGCAUACGACCUACGGGUGAAAGCAGGGGAUCUUCGGACCUUGCGCGAUUGAAUGAGCCGAUGUCGGAUUAGCUAGUUGGCGGGGUAAAGGCCCACCAAGGCGACGAUCCGUAGCUGGUCUGAGAGGAUGAGCCGCAAAAAGGGAAAAGAGACACGGUACAGACACCUAAGGGAGGGAGCAGGGGGGAAAAGGGGAAAAAGGGCGCAAGCCCGAACCCGCCAUGCCGCGGGGGUGAAAAGGGGCUUGGGGUUGUUAAGCCCUUUUUUGGGGGAAAAAAAGCAGAAAGUUAAAACCCCGCUGUUUUGACGCGAAAAAAAAAAAAAACACCCGCUCAAUUCGCG
RNAcentral lists this ribosomal RNA (492 nucleotides) under uncultured bacterium. RNAcentral's name for it is "partial 16S ribosomal RNA". It matches the Rfam family "Bacterial small subunit ribosomal RNA", at positions 29 to 507 of the family's 1533-position model. The record is from RNAcentral.